RNAcentral lists this long non-coding RNA (249 nucleotides) under Vigna radiata. Its description in RNAcentral is "long non-coding RNA (VRAD_LNC014163)". The record is from RNAcentral. Lineage: Eukaryota; Viridiplantae; Streptophyta; Magnoliopsida; Fabales; Fabaceae.
UUGCGUUCGCUUAGUUCGCUUUUAUGAAAACAGGAUUAACCGUCGCUUAGUCGGUCAACUCUGUUAGAUAAGAGGUUUGAGUAGCGACUUUAUUUUGUUAAUCUGUGAAGGGAACAUUGUAAUUAAGUUAAUGACCAACUGCUUUUAUUCUGUCUUUGAACUCGUUUCUAAAUCUGUGUUUAAUUAUUACUUGCGUCUGUGUUUUGAUUUUAUUCCUCCGCAUUCACAAACUUUCACAAACCCCCCCCU